GUUGAUAUUCCUGUACCACCUCCUCACCAUUUGAGCAAUGGGGGACGCAGGAGGAUAGUAAGCGCGGUAUUGGAUAUCCGCGUCCAAGCAGUUAGGCUGGGAAAUAGGCAAAUCCGUUUCCCAUAAGGCUGAGCUGUGAUGGCGAGCGAAAUAUAGUAGUGAAGUUCCUGAUUCCACACUGCCAAGAAAAGCCUCUAGCGAGGUGAGAGGUGCCCGUACCGCAAACCGACACAGGUAGGCGAGGAGAGAAUCUAAGGUGAUCGAAGAACUCUCGUUAAGGGACUCGGCAAAAUGACCCCGUAACUUCGGGAGAAGGGGUGCUCCGUUAGGGUGCAAGCCCGAGAGAGCCGCUGAAUAGGCCCAGGCGACUGUUUAGCAAAAACACAGGUCUCUACGAAGCCGUGAGGCGAAGUAUAGGGCUGACGCCUGCCCGGUGCUGGAAGUUAAGAGGAGCGCUUAGCGUAAGCGAAGGUGCGAAUUGAAGCCCCAGUAAACGGCGGCCGUAACAAUAACGGUCCUAAGGUAGCGAAAUUCCUUGUCGGGUAAGUUCCGACCCGCACGAAGGCGCAACGAUCUGGGCACUGUCUCAACGAGAGACUCGGUGAAAAAGUACCUGUGAAGAUGCAGGUUCCGCGACAGGACGGAAAGACCCGUGGAGCUUUACUGCAGCCUGAUAUUGAAUGUUGGUACAGCUUGUACAGGAUAGGUAGAGCCUUGAAACCGGAGCGCCAGCUUUGGUGGAGAGCAUCGGUGGGAUACUACCUGGCUGUAUUGACCUUCUAACCGCCGCCCUUAUCGGGCGGGGAGACAGUCAGGUGGGCAGUUUGACUGGGGCGGUCGCCUCCUAAAAGUAACGGAGGCGCCCAAGGUUCCCUCAGAAUGGUUGGAAAUCAUUCGCAGAGUGUAAAGGCACAAGGGAGCUUGACUGCGAGACCCAAGUCGAGCAGGGACGAAAGUCGGGCUUAGUGAUCCGGUGGUUCCGCAUGGAAGGGCCAUCGCUCAACGGAUAAAAGCUACCCCGGGGAUAACAGGCUUAUCUCCCCAAGAGUCCACAUCGACGGGAGGUUUGGCACCUCGAUGUCGGCUCAUCGCAUCCUGGGGCUGUAGUCGGUCCCAAGGGUUGGGCUGUUCGCCCAUUAAAGCGGUACGCGAGCUGGAGUUCAGAACGUCGUGAGACAGUUCGGUCCCUAUCCGUCGCGGGCGCAGGAAAUUUGAGAGGAGCUGUCCUUAGUACGAGAGGACCGGGAUGGACGCACCGCUGGUGUACCAGUUGUUCUGCCAAGGGCAUCGCUGGGUAGCUAUGUGCGGACGGGAUAAGUGCUGAAAGCAUCUAAGCAUGAAGCCCCCUCAAGAUGAGAUUUCCCAUUCCGCAAGGAAGUAAGAUCCCUGAAAGAUGAUCAGGUUGAUAGGUCUGAGGUGGAAGUGUGGCGACACAUGGAGCUGACAGAUACUAAUCGAUCGAGGA
Molecule: ribosomal RNA, 1465 nt
Filed under: metagenome
Description: bacterial LSU rRNA
Rfam family: Bacterial large subunit ribosomal RNA
Source: RNAcentral